Molecule: ribosomal RNA, 354 nt
Filed under: uncultured Rhodoferax sp.
Lineage: Bacteria; Pseudomonadati; Pseudomonadota; Betaproteobacteria; Burkholderiales; Comamonadaceae
Description: bacterial SSU rRNA
Rfam family: Bacterial small subunit ribosomal RNA
Source: RNAcentral
AGCCGUAACACAGGUGCUGCAUGGCUGUGUCAGCUCGUGUCGUGAGAUGUUGGGUUAAGUCCCGCAACGAGCGCAACCCUUGUCAUUAGUUGCUACAUUCAGUUGGGCACUCUAAUGAGACUGCCGGUGACAAGCCGGAGGAAGGUGGGGAUGACGUCAAGUCCUCAUGGCCCUUAUAGGUGGGGCUACACACGUCAUACAAUGGCUGGUACAAAGGGUUGCCAACCCGCGAGGGGGAGCUAAUCCCAUAAAGCCAGUCGUAGUCCGGAUCGUAGUCUGCAACUCGACUACGUGAAGUCGGAAUCGCUAGUAAUCGUGGAUCAGAAUGUCACGGUGAAUACGUUCCCGGGUCUU